This 772-nucleotide ribosomal RNA is filed under the name Caulobacter sp. RNAcentral's name for it is "bacterial SSU rRNA". It matches the Rfam family "Bacterial small subunit ribosomal RNA", at positions 29 to 848 of the family's 1533-position model. Lineage: Bacteria; Pseudomonadati; Pseudomonadota; Alphaproteobacteria; Caulobacterales; Caulobacteraceae. The record is from RNAcentral.
GCGAACGCUGGCGGCAGGCCUAACACAUGCAAGUCGAACGGAUCCUUCGGGAUUAGUGGCGGACGGGUGAGUAACACGUGGGAACGUGCCCUUUGGUUCGGAACAACUCAGGGAAACUUGAGCUAAUACCGGAUGUGCCCUUCGGGGGAAAGAUUUAUCGCCAUUGGAGCGGCCCGCGUCUGAUUAGCUAGUUGGUGGGGUAAAGGCCCACCAAGGCGACGAUCAGUAGCUGGUCUGAGAGGAUGAUCAGCCACAUUGGGACUGAGACACGGCCCAAACUCCUACGGGAGGCAGCAGUGGGGAAUCUUGCGCAAUGGGCGAAAGCCUGACGCAGCCAUGCCGCGUGAAUGAUGAAGGUCUUAGGAUUGUAAAAUUCUUUCACCGGGGACGAUAAUGACGGUACCCGGAGAAGAAGCCCCGGCUAACUUCGUGCCAGCAGCCGCGGUAAUACGAAGGGGGCUAGCGUUGCUCGGAAUUACUGGGCGUAAAGGGAGCGUAGGCGGACUGUUUAGUCAGAGGUGAAAGCCCAGGGCUCAACCUUGGAAUUGCCUUUGAUACUGGCAGUCUUGAGUACGGAAGAGGUAUGUGGAACUCCGAGUGUAGAGGUGAAAUUCGUAGAUAUUCGGAAGAACACCAGUGGCGAAGGCGACAUACUGGUCCGUUACUGACGCUGAGGCUCGAAAGCGUGGGGAGCAAACAGGAUUAGAUACCCUGGUAGUCCACGCCGUAAACGAUGAGUGCUAGUUGUCGGCAUGCAUGCAUGUCGGUGACG